Molecule: long non-coding RNA, 500 nt
Organism: Glossina fuscipes
Lineage: Eukaryota; Metazoa; Arthropoda; Insecta; Diptera; Glossinidae
Exons: 2
Source: RefSeq, a predicted model, not a curated record
AAUGCAUGUAAAUUUUUUCUGCUGUUUUUCGAUUUUUUUGUGUUUUUUUUUUUUUUUUUUUUGUUAUUCUCUUUUCUAUAUACGUUCAUACGAGAGCAGUACAGUAACGUUGGAUGGUAAAAAAUUUAAUUAAAAUUUAAUUAAAACUGAAAAUCUAAUUUCAUUGAAAAUUAAUUUAUACUCUUGUAUCUGUGUGUAUUUGUGCUUGUUUUGUGUGCGAGAGACAAUAACUGGAAAAUCAUUUAAAAAUGGAAACGAUUCUAAACGAAACGCUGUCGCGCUGUCAUUAUUUUAUAUUGUAUAACGAAGGUAGAGAACUAAACUGAAAUAAAAAAAAAACGAAAAAAAAAUUGAACUUUCCAUAUGGUCUGCUGAUGAUGACAGUGGCAUUUGAGAACUGAAACUUUUGUGCGAUCAUACUAAACGGAUAUAGCGGCAUUUCGAAAAAAUAGAAAAUAAAUUUAAAAAAAAAAACUUUAAAGUUGAAAUUGUUGAUAAAA